This 301-nucleotide ribosomal RNA is filed under the name uncultured bacterium. Its description in RNAcentral is "partial 16S ribosomal RNA". It matches the Rfam family "Bacterial small subunit ribosomal RNA", at positions 509 to 807 of the family's 1533-position model. The record is from RNAcentral.
CAGUCGCCGCGGUAAUACGUAGGUGGCAAGCGUUGUCCGGAAUUAUUGGGCGUAAAGGACUCGCAGGCGGUUUCUUAAGUCUGAUGUGAAAGCCCCCGGCUCAACCGGGGAGGGUCAUUGGAAACUGGGAAACUUGAGUGCAGAAGAGGAGAGUGGAAUUCCACGUGUAGCGGUGAAAUGCGUAGAGAUGUGGAGGAACACCAGUGGCGAAGGCGACUCUCUGGUCUGUAACUGACGCUGAGGAGCGAAAGCGUGGGGAGCGAACAGGAUUAGAUACCCCUGUAGUCCCUGUCUCUUAUAC